This 332-nucleotide unclassified non-coding RNA is filed under the name soil metagenome. RNAcentral's name for it is "partial contains 5.8S ribosomal RNA, internal transcribed spacer 2, and large subunit ribosomal RNA". The stretch from base 1 to 120 matches the Rfam family "5.8S ribosomal RNA", at positions 35 to 154 of the family's 154-position model. The record is from RNAcentral.
GAUGAAGAACGUAGCAAAAUGCGAUAAGUAAUGUGAAUUGCAGAAUUCAGUGAAUCAUCGAAUCUUUGAACGCACAUUGCGCCCGCCAGUAUUCUGGCGGGCAUGCCUGUUCGAGCGUCAUUUCAACCCUCAAGCUCAGCUUGGUGUUGGGACUCGCGGUAACCCGCGUUCCCCAAAUCGAUUGGCGGUCACGUCGAGCUUCCAUAGCGUAGUAAUCAUACACCUCGUUACUGGUAAUCGUCGCGGCACGCCGUAAAACCCCAACUUCUGAAUGUUGACCUCGGAUCAGGUAGGAAUACCCGCUGAACUUAAGCAUAUCAAUAAGCGGAGGA